CGUAGGGUGCGAGCGUUGUCCGGAUUUAUUGGGCGUAAAGAGCUCGUAGUCGUUUGUCCCGUCUAUAGUGAGAACCGACCGCUUAACUGCGGGCUUGCUGUCGAUACGGGCAGACUUGAGUUCGGCAGGGGAGACUGGAAUUCCUGGUGUAGCGGUGAAAUGCGCAGAUAUCAGGAGGAACACCGGUGGCGAAGGCGGGUCUCUGGGCCGAUACUGACGCUGAGGAGCGAAAGCGUGGGGAGCGAACAGGAUUAGAUACCCUGGUAGUCCACGCCGUAAACGUUGGGCGCUAGGUGUGGGGAUGGGUUCCACCACUUCCGUGCCCUACGUAACGCAUUAAGCGCCCCGGCGGGGGAGUUCCGCCGCAAGGCUAAAACCCAAAGGAAUUGACGGGGGCCCGCACAAGCGGCGGAGCAUGGGGUUUAAUU
This 428-nucleotide ribosomal RNA is filed under the name uncultured actinomycete. Its description in RNAcentral is "bacterial SSU rRNA". It matches the Rfam family "Bacterial small subunit ribosomal RNA", at positions 526 to 951 of the family's 1533-position model. The record is from RNAcentral. Lineage: Bacteria; Bacillati; Actinomycetota; Actinomycetes; Actinomycetales.